This 292-nucleotide ribosomal RNA is filed under the name uncultured bacterium. Its description in RNAcentral is "partial 16S ribosomal RNA". It matches the Rfam family "Bacterial small subunit ribosomal RNA", at positions 505 to 796 of the family's 1533-position model. The record is from RNAcentral.
GUGUCAGCAGCCGCGGUAAUACGUAGGUGGCGAGCGUUGUCCGGAAUUACUGGGCGUAAAGGGAGCGUAGGCGGUUUUUUAAGUGGGAUGUGAAAUCCCCGGGCUCAACCUGGGAAUUGCAUUCCAAACUGGGAGACUAGAGUGCAGGAGAGGAAAGUGGAAUUCCAAGUGUAGCGGUGAAAUGCGUAGAGAUUUGGAGGAACACCAGUGGCGAAGGCGACUUUCUGGACUGUAACUGACGCUGAGGCUCGAGAGCGUGGGGAGCAAACAGGAUUAGAUACCCUUGUAGUCC